AGGAGCGUUGAGAGCAAGGAGGAGCGAGUUGGGGGCGGAGACGAGGAAGUGGGUGCGAGGCUCGGGGCGCAGGCCGUGCGCGCGCCGCCCGCUCCAUCCCUGCCCGGCAGCCGGCGCGGGCGCUGGACCAAGGCAAACCCGGUGCGGAGCCAACGCCCGCCGCAGCAGCACCAGCUCCUGUCCUCCACUGACUCCAGAGAAGGAGAUCCCCAGUCCUUGACCCCAUCACGCAGAUGGGACCAGGCACCAGCUAUGGAGAGGGAUACAGCCAUGUCUCCACAUGACCCAUCCUGCAUGACACCAAAGCCACCGCCAGACAGUACCUUGGAUUCUAUGCAAAACCUGGAGAGUGGAGACUUGCCCCAGCCCUGGGAGGAAGCUAGCUCUUCAGGGGAUCAUCCGAGGACUGGAGUUUGAUCCAUGAACCUGGCUUCAAGGCCUUGCUUUUCUCUCUUGUUCAUUCAUACUCAUUCCCAACACCUUAGAAGAGAUUGCUUAAUUUAUUUCUAGAAAACAGCCCUGAGUCAGUCAUCAAAGGUCCCCCUCCAAAAAAAAAAAAAAAAUUGGACACACUGUGGCUCUGUUGGGAGCCUGGAGUCCAGUGGUUGGCAUAAUUGUCACACUGGGAGAAGAGAAGAAGCAGCCAGGAGCCCUGGUCAGGGGACAGAGCCACAGGGUCCCAGGAUGGCGCCCAAUGGCACAGCCUCUUCCUUCUGCCUGGACUCUAUUGCAUUCAAGAUCACCAUCAGCGUGAUCCUUGGGAUCCUCAUUUUCAUCACUGUUGCUGGCAAUGUGGUCGUCUGUCUGGCUGUGGGCUUGAACCGCCGGCUCCGCAAUCUGACCAAUUGCUUCAUUGUGUCCUUGGCUGUCACGGACUUGCUCCUCGGCCUCCUGGUGCUGCCCUUCUCUGCCAUCUACCAGCUGUCCUGCCAGUGGAGCUUUGGCAAGGUCUUCUGCAAUAUCUACACCAGCCUGGAUGUGAUGCUCUGCACAGCCUCCAUUCUCAACCUCUUCAUGAUCAGCCUCGACCGGUACUGCGCCGUCAUGGACCCGCUGCGGUACCCUGUGCUGGUCACCCCGGUUCGGGUCACCAUCUCUCUGGUCUUAAUUUGGGUCAUCUCCAUUACCCUGUCCUUCCUGUCUAUCCACCUGGGGUGGAACAGCAGGAACGAGACCAGCAAGGGCAAUCAUACCACCCCUAAGUGCAAAGUCCAAGUCAAUGAAGUGUACGGGCUGGUGGAUGGGCUGGUCACUUUCUACCUACCGCUAUUGAUCAUGUGCGUCACCUACUACCGCAUCUUCAAGGUAGCCCGGGAUCAGGCCAAAAGGAUCAAUCACAUUAGCUCCUGGAAGGCAGCCACCAUCAGGGAGCACAAAGCCACAGUGACACUGGCUGCCGUCAUGGGGGCCUUCAUCAUCUGCUGGUUUCCCUACUUCACCGCAUUUGUGUACCGUGGGCUGAAAGGGGAUGAUGCCAUCAAUGAGGUGUUAGAAGCCAUUGUUCUAUGGCUAGGCUAUGCCAACUCAGCCCUGAACCCCAUCCUGUAUGCUGCGCUGAACAGAGACUUUCGCACCGGGUACCAGCAGCUCUUCUGCUGCAGGCUUGCCAGCCGUAACUCUCACAAAACUUCUCUGAGGUCCAACGCCUCUCAGCUGUCCAGGACCCAAAGUCGAGAACCCAGGCCACAGGAAGAGAAACCCCUAAAGCUCCAGGUGUGGAGUGGGACAGACGUCACGGCCCCCCAGGGAGCCACAGACAGAGAGUUUGGGGAGUGAGAGCCCCUCCCACUCCUGGAGAGGAAGUCAGGGGAAGGAGAGCAGAAAGAGGAGGUGGGAAGCCCUUUACAGCCUCAAAAGUCAAGGAGAAUAAAUCGUGGCCCCCCCCCAGGAGUCACUGAAAGGAAGCCAGCACUGUCCCGUACUUCAUGCUCCAGCAACCUCCUGAGCUGCUACAAGAGCCUGUGGGGGCUCAGGUUCCUUUGGAGACAUAUGGGAGGCCCCUUGGAGGAGCCGCCGGGGGAGCCACUCUCUGAGGAGCCACAGAAGAGACCUCCCCAAAAAGCGAUGCGGACGCCGCCUUCCCAGGCUGUCUAGACCUGGCCCCAGGACACUGAAGAUACUGCUCCUGGUCCCCGAGAUGUGACUCCUGGAGCUCCUAAGGACCCAGUCUCCAAAGCCCCAAUGACUCACCCUGGACUGAGUCUGGGGGCUCCCAGAGCACACAGCUGAUUGUGGGGUGUGCAGGCCUAGGGCAGAGCAGCCUAUUCUGUACUCAGUAUUCCCAGACGGGCAUGCAAGACUCCUCUGGGCCUGAGUGGGCCAAUUCCCAUAGGUCCCAAGCUCACAUUGGUGCUGGCCCUGGGAGUCACAAGCAGAGACGGUGGGACAGGCAGGGAUGCGUGCACAUGUGUAUGCAUGGGUGCCUACAUGUAGGAACAUGCAUGUCCUCUGAGCAAGGCAGAGGGUAUUGCAAGAAAGCACUGGCCUCUCACUCCUUCAUGGGUUCUGCAGGAUGAAGGAAAGGAAAGGAAAAGACAGAAAAAGGAAGGAAGUAGCUCUUAAUGAGCACCUACUGUGUACCAGGUGCUUCCCCAGCAUGAGCUCUCUCGUAACCCUUAUAGCAGCAACAUGAGUUUACGGCAAGAAUCACCACCACCCUGACUUUACAGAGGUGGAAACAGACUCAGAGAAGUGUGGGAACUGUCCAAGGCCACUCAGCACCCAGAAAGUGUGCCUGGCACAGAGGAGGCAUGCCAAAAUAUUUGUUGAAUGGGUGAAUGAAUGAGAGGAUGGGCCAGCCCUCAAGCCCAUACUCCUGACACUGCACUACCCCGCCUCUCAGGACAGAGGGCAAAGGUUUUCUUGACUCAGCCACCUUCCUCCUAGCAAGGCUUAGAGCCCCAGGCUCUGGGGGGUCCCUUCCUGCUACAGUAUGACCCUCUCUGGUGCUUGUCAUCAAGAGGCGGUGUGUGGUGGACUUGCUGGGGAGAGUGUCUGCAGCCAGGCACCAUGGAGGGAGGGGUGGAGGCUGAGGGACUAUAAUGGUUAUGAGUAGGGGAUUUGGGCCCCAGCACUGUCUGCUGGCUGCAUGCCCUUGGGCAUAUCAUCUAACCCCUCUAAACAGCUUUUGGGUCCCCUGUCCAAGAGGGUAGGCUCCCUGUUCCUAUUUACAGGAUCCAUAAAGAGACUCAAAGAGAUAGGGUAGUGCCAGCCCCAGAGAGAGGGGGCUGUGAAGGGCCUUCUGCCACCAGGGCUUCUCAGUGGCAUCUCCUGGCUGACCCCAACACUCAGGGUUCCUUGGUUUCCAAGAUGCCCUGUGGUCUUCCCCCUCCCUGACAUCCUUGACCCCUCCUUUCUGUCCCUUUUGCAACUCAUUGUCCUCUUCCUGCCAUCAGAUGUGGCUGUUCUCCAGGCUCAGUCCCGAGUCCUCUCUUCUCACUCAACAUCUCUCCCUCUGUGACCUCAUCUGCACCCACAACUCCAGUUACAAGGCACGAGGUUCGGUUAUGAAAUCGCUCACAGAUUUAUGACUGCAGGCUUGGCUCCUUCCGGGAGCUUGAGACCCGCUGCCGCCUCCGCCUCCGCAACGCCUCCACCUGGGAGAUUCAGGGGCGCUGUCCCUCGGCGUGUCUGCAGCUGCCAGCCUACCUUCCCCCUGCACCCGCCCUGCUUCCCAGCUCCCCUUCUCACACCUACGCCUUCACAGGGUGAGGGUCCACCUUGCCACCUCCUUUUGCCUCAGUCCUUAUGGAGUCCUGGCUCCACCGUCUGCUGGCUGCUUCCCAUCUACCCUGUGUCACUCCAUCCGGCCACCAUCGUCUCCAUCAGGACAGCUGGAACACCUCGGCACUUCCACCCCCACGCAGUCCACCCUCCACCUGACAGCCAGAGCAGGCCAUGCCAGAGCAACCCAGGUCAUGCGUCGCGGGUGGAUAAAACCAUCUUCAACCUGGCCCUCAGGCCCUAUGUGCUGGGACCCUGCUGGGCCCUCUGCAGCCUCCCCCUGUACCAGGCCUCCUCCAUCACUCCACUCAGGACCUGCUGUGCUUUUCCUUUUGGUAUGAUUAACUUGCUCUGCCCAUUCCAUGUUCAAAGCUGUUUCUGUGACUAAAUGCUCCUUCUGUCCAUUUCAGUGCUCUGAACUGUCACUUCCUUCAGGAAGCCCUCAUUGACCCUCCGCACCAGGCCAGGUCCCCUGCCACAGCCCUCAGAGCUCUCCUUGGAAGGCACUGGCACAGCUGUGAUGUCACGGCUGUUUGUGUGACUCUUUGAAUGUUGUCCGUCUCUCCUCCUCACGAGGCCGUGGGUCCUGGCUAUUUCCAGUGACCACUGUCUGUCUAGCCCCUAGAGGAAAGUUUGUUACAUGGUAGGAGCUUAAUAAAGACGUGUUGGAUGAAUGAGCAGAGGAAAGAGACCGCGCAGAGGGUGGACAAAACAGAUGCUCUCAGCAGUGUAUCUGCCAACAAACCUAAAGGCAUGAUUUGCCCUGGUGACCCCCAGAGGUCCUUAGUAUCUUGGCUGAAUUCCUUCUGGAAUCCCCGGAACCACCUCCUUGGAAGGUUUCCCAGGAGUCGAGGCAGGCGGGUCUCUCAGUCAUGGCCACAUGACCUCGAGUGAAAACAAACCAGUCUGGCUUAUCACAGACUCAGCUGGUCACAACUCUGGCCCGAGGUGCCCACGCACCACCCACCACAGCAGAGGACGCCUCCGUGUCUGUCUCUGGGCUGCCCCCGCCUUCUGCAGGCCUCCUGGGGCCUCUGCUGGCUGCAGAAGUGGGGUGCAUGUUGCCUGGAGGAGGAACAUCUGUGGUGGGACCCCAAAUCCAUGUUUGUGUUACCAUCAUGUUCCAAUAAAACUAUCGAAACAGA
Molecule: RNA transcript, 4868 nt
Organism: Saimiri boliviensis boliviensis (Bolivian squirrel monkey)
Lineage: Eukaryota; Metazoa; Chordata; Mammalia; Primates; Cebidae
Gene: HRH2
Gene name: histamine receptor H2
Source: RefSeq, a predicted model, not a curated record